GCGUUGUUCGGAUUCAUUGGGAGUAAAGGGUGCGUAGGCGGCGCGGUAAGUCGGGGGUGAAAUCUCGGGGCUUAACUCCGAAACUGCAUUCGAUACUGCCGUGCUUGAGGACUGGAGAGGAGACUGGAAUUUACGGUGUAGCGGUGAAAUGCGUAGAUAUCGUAAGGAAGACCAGUGGCGAAGGCGGGUCUCUGGACAGUUCCUGACGCUGAGGCACGAAGGCCAGGGGAGCAAACGGG
RNAcentral lists this ribosomal RNA (239 nucleotides) under uncultured bacterium. RNAcentral's name for it is "partial 16S ribosomal RNA". It matches the Rfam family "Bacterial small subunit ribosomal RNA", at positions 538 to 776 of the family's 1533-position model. The record is from RNAcentral.